UGCAGAAUCCCGUGAACCAUCGAGUCUUUGAACGCAAGUUGCGCCCGAGGGACCAUCCCGAGGGCACGCCUGCCUGGGCGUUAGAAGCCCAUCCACGCUCGGCGCACGCCCGAUGCGGACAAUGGCCCUCCGAGCCGCGAGGCGCGACGGGCACAAGUGCAUGGCCGUUGGUUGAGGCCGGGAGCGGCGAGUGGUGGGCUAACUGCGCACGCUGCCUCCGAACCUCACGUCGACUCAAGGCCUAGUCGGACCUCGAAACGAGGAGCACGUCGCCUAGCGCGGCAGAGCCUCGGACCGAUACCCCAGGUCAGGCGUGGCCACCCGCUGAGUUUAAGCAUAUAAAUAAGCGGAGGAGAAGAAACUUACAAGGAUUCCCCUAGUAACGGCGAGCGAACCGGGAGCAGCCCAGCCUUAGAAUCGCGACGGCUCCGCCGUCCGA
This 439-nucleotide ribosomal RNA is filed under the name Eleocharis uniglumis. RNAcentral's name for it is "eukaryotic LSU rRNA". The stretch from base 298 to 439 matches the Rfam family "Eukaryotic large subunit ribosomal RNA", at positions 1 to 141 of the family's 3401-position model. The record is from RNAcentral. Lineage: Eukaryota; Viridiplantae; Streptophyta; Magnoliopsida; Poales; Cyperaceae.